CCUACGGGUGGCAGCAGUGAGGAAUAUUGGUCAAUGGACGAGAGUCUGAACCAGCCAAGUAGCGUGAAGGAUGACUGCCCUAUGGGUUGUAAACUUCUUUUAUAUGGGAAUAAAAUGUUCCACGUGUGGGAUUUUGUAUGUACCAUAUGAAUAAGGAUCGGCUAACUCCGUGCCAGCAGCCGCAGUAAUACGGAGGAUCCGAGCGUUAUCCGGAUUUAUUGGGUUUAAAGGGAGCGUAGGUGGAUUGUUAAGUCAGUUGUGAAAGUUUGCGGCUCAACCGUAAAAUUGCAGUUGAAACUGGCAGUCUUGAGUACAGUAGAGGUGGGCGGAAGUCGUGGUGUAGCGGUGAAAUGCUUAGAUAUCACGAAGAACUCCGAUUGCGAAGGCAGUUCACUGGACUGCAACUGACACUGAGGCUCGAAAGUGUGGGUAUCAAACAGGAUUAGAUACCCUGGUAGUC
This 460-nucleotide ribosomal RNA is filed under the name uncultured bacterium. RNAcentral's name for it is "partial 16S ribosomal RNA". It matches the Rfam family "Bacterial small subunit ribosomal RNA", at positions 338 to 795 of the family's 1533-position model. The record is from RNAcentral.